This 786-nucleotide long non-coding RNA is filed under the name Zostera marina. Its description in RNAcentral is "long non-coding RNA (ZMAR_LNC004635)". The record is from RNAcentral. Lineage: Eukaryota; Viridiplantae; Streptophyta; Magnoliopsida; Alismatales; Zosteraceae.
GGAAAUCCAAAGUUUUCCGGCAAUCUUUACACCGUGAUAGCAUCUUUAUGUAGAAUAUUCUAGAUACUUCCGGGCACUAUAGCUGAAAAAGCAAUAAUUGACGGUAGCUGGAAAAGAUGGCAAACAAUAAUUCCAGGUAGCACCGUAAGCAAAGUAGAUGACAGACAUGGUGGACAUGGGUCGGCGACGUACGUACCUUUUUUCUGGGUAAUAUUUGGUCUGAUGAGACUUUUGGUGGGACAGCUAUUGUCAAAAUCAAUAAUCUGGAUCGUUCUUUAAAUUAAUCAGGCAGAUCGAUCUGCCGGCAUCGUCGAUCAUGCAACGGAGAUGAGAUCCAGGUAGACAACCCACUAUUUCUUUUUACGUUUCGUUUUCUCCACUUCCCAGUUCUCUAUAUUCCCAUCUAUAUAUCUGACAUCUAAUCCGACCGGCAUUUAUCAUUCGCCGGAGAUAAAAUCCACGUAGACAAACCACUAAAUCUUGGUCAAUUAAUUCCUAAUCGUUAUCCUUUCGAUCGGCAUUAUCUGUUUUUUUUAUGUUGAUGUCAUUUGAGAACAGAGACGACGACGAAUUGAGGAUGGAGACAACGACGACGAUUUGAGGAUGGAGACGACGGUAACAUACACAACAUUUAAGACUUAUCACGGAUUUAUCAAAUCAAUUUUAUAACUAAAUGUUAUGGGUAAUCGGAUAAGAUGUAACGGACAAUCAGGGAAAAUGUUAUGAGUUUCAUCACAUAAUAAUUGUUUUGGUAAGUAUUUUUUGCUUUUUAAGCCAUCUAAGGUG